GAUGAACGCUAGCUACAGGCUUAACACAUGCAAGUCGAGGGGCAGCGGGUUGAAAGCUUGCUUUCAAUGCCGGCGACCGGCGCACGGGUGCGUAACGCGUAUCAAACCUGCCUCAUACUCGGGGAUAGCCUUGCGAAAGUAAGAUUAAUACCCGAUGUUGUUGCUUUCUCGCAUGGGAGAGUAACCAAAGAUUUAUCGGUAUGAGAUGGUGAUGCGUCCGGUUAGGUAGUAGGCGGGGUAACGGCCCACCUAGCCUUCGAUCGGUAGGGGUUCUGAGAGGAAGGUCCCCCACACUGGAACUGAGACACGGUCCAGACUCCUACGGGAGGCAGCAGUGAGGAAUAUUGGUCAAUGGGCGAGAGCCUGAACCAGCCAAGUAGCGUGCAGGAUGACGGCCCUCCGGGUUGUAAACUGCUUUUAGUUGGGAAUAAAAAAAGGGACUUGUCCCUUCUUGUAU
This 457-nucleotide ribosomal RNA is filed under the name Alloprevotella sp. oral taxon 308. RNAcentral's name for it is "bacterial SSU rRNA". It matches the Rfam family "Bacterial small subunit ribosomal RNA", at positions 28 to 474 of the family's 1533-position model. The record is from RNAcentral. Lineage: Bacteria; Pseudomonadati; Bacteroidota; Bacteroidia; Bacteroidales; Prevotellaceae.